Long non-coding RNA from Penaeus monodon (black tiger shrimp), 458 nucleotides. RefSeq lists it as uncharacterized. The transcript has 2 exons. The record is from RefSeq and is a predicted model, not a curated record. Lineage: Eukaryota; Metazoa; Arthropoda; Malacostraca; Decapoda; Penaeidae.
UGUGUGUGUGUGUGUGUGUGUGUGUGUAUGUGUGUAUGUGUGUGUGUGUGUGGUAUAUGCUGUACAUAUAUACUAAGGCAAAAGGUGUGGCAAGAUAAAUCAGUGAACAAAAAAGAAAAUGAAAUGUGCCGCCGAAGCAAACGAAUCACUUGUCCAAAUAGGAAAAGGACAGGGAAGAAUGAGAGUGACCCAUCAAGAGCGCCACGCGAGGAAGCCGAGCGACCGGGACGCGAGCCGGCUUCCCAGGGGCGGCGGCGCAACAGGCGGACUCACGCUGGAAAUGCCAAUGGUCGCUGAUCCUCUGUUCCCUCGAACCGCGCACUGCCGGGCGCGGUGCUCCCUUUUACCUUCGCCAAGGAGAAUGUUCGAUACUUUUUUUUGUCAUCGGAAUAAGUGUUAGAUUUUGAAUUAGACUGUGAUUUGUAAUGAUAAUAAUAUGGAGGAAAAAAUAAGAGUAA